CGUCUAUAUACGUAUAGCAUAUCAAUAAGCGGAGGAAAAGAAACUAACUAGGAUUCCCCUCAGUAACGGCGAGUGAAGCGGGAAGAGCUCAAAUUUGAAAUCUUCAAGGGUUUACCUUUACGAAUUGUAGUUUAAAGAAGUGUUUUCUGUUGGAGUUUCGGUAAAAGUUCUUUGGAAUAGGACAUCAUAGAGGGUGAGAAUCCCGUAUUUGACCAGUUACUUUCCAGCUGUGUGAUACACUUUCAAAGAGUCGGAUUGUUUGGGAAUGCAGUCCAAAAUGGGUGGUAAAUUUCAUCUAAAGCUAAAUACUGGCGAGAGACCGAUAGCGAACAAGUACCGUGAGGGAAAGAUGAAAAGAACUUUGAAAAGAGAGUUAAACAGUACGUGAAAUUGUCAAAAGGGAAGCGUUUGACACCAGUGUUGUUUCGUCGAAAAUCAAUUAAAUAUGGUGGGAUUUUGUGUUGUAUUGACUUUAUCAGCUUUCUGCACUUUUUUCCUGUCUUUUUUAAUGCACUUUUCGUUUAACAAGUCAACAUCAAUUUCUUUUGUUGUAAAAGGGUCAUUGGAAGGUGGCUUUCUUUUCGGAGAAAGUGUUUAUAGCCUUUGACUUCUGCAAUCGGAGAGAUUGAGGUCUGCAGCGUAGAUCCUUCGGGGUUAGAUGCAUUUGUGCUAAGUUAUAGCCUUUCAUAGACAACUUGUUGACUAUGAUCAGUCAUGUAGCUUACUCGCUUAUGCUAUUUUACCUACGCUUAGGAUGUUGACGAUCAGCUGAGCGCG
RNAcentral lists this ribosomal RNA (777 nucleotides) under uncultured Neocallimastigales. Its description in RNAcentral is "partial large subunit ribosomal RNA". It matches the Rfam family "Eukaryotic large subunit ribosomal RNA", at positions 26 to 628 of the family's 3401-position model. The record is from RNAcentral. Lineage: Eukaryota; Fungi; Neocallimastigomycota; Neocallimastigomycetes; Neocallimastigales.